Molecule: ribosomal RNA, 252 nt
Filed under: uncultured bacterium
Lineage: Bacteria
Description: partial 16S ribosomal RNA
Rfam family: Bacterial small subunit ribosomal RNA
Source: RNAcentral
ACGUAGGGUGCAAGCGUUGUCCGGAAUUAUUGGGCGUAAAGAGCUCGUAGGCGGUUUGUCGCGUCGGCUGUGAAAGCCCGGAGCUCAACUCCGGGUCUGCAGUCGAUACGGGCAGACUUGAGUGUUGCAGGGGAGACUGGAAUUCCUGGUGUAGCGGUGAAAUGCGCAGAUAUCAGGAGGAACACCGGUGGCGAAGGCGGGUCUCUGGGCAACAACUGACGCUGAGGAGCGAAAGCGUGGGGAGCGAACAGG